This 77-nucleotide transfer RNA is filed under the name Olsenella uli. Its description in RNAcentral is "tRNA-Pro". It matches the Rfam family "tRNA". Rfam says of the family: Transfer RNA (tRNA) molecules are approximately 80 nucleotides in length. Their secondary structure includes four short double-helical elements and three loops (D, anti-codon, and T loops). Lineage: Bacteria; Bacillati; Actinomycetota; Coriobacteriia; Coriobacteriales; Atopobiaceae. RNAcentral also lists the same sequence under 2 other names. The record is from RNAcentral.
CGGGACGUGGCGCAGUUUGGUAGCGCGCUCGGUUCGGGACCGAGAGGUCGCUGGUUCGAAUCCAGUCGUCCCGACCA